GUGAACCUAUGAAGCCUUCUCUGAGGAGCAGGAAACAGCAGCUUCUUGAGCUCUUCUUUGUGUGGUGCUGACCUGCUGCUGUUCCUGGAGAGAAAUUCUCAGAUAUAUGGCACCCGCAUACCUCCUAGCAAAAAGAAUCAGGAUCCUGGAGGAUAGUGAAGAAUAACAUAAACUG
This 175-nucleotide long non-coding RNA is filed under the name Struthio camelus australis. RNAcentral's name for it is "lncRNA (ENSSCUG00000014697.1)". The record is from RNAcentral. Lineage: Eukaryota; Metazoa; Chordata; Aves; Struthioniformes; Struthionidae.